UACGUAGGGGGCAAGCGUUGUCCGGAUUUAUUGGGCGUAAAGGGUGCGUAGGCGGCGCGGUAAGUCGGGUGUGAAAUCUUGGAGCUUAACUCCGAAACUGCAUUCGAUACUGCCGUGCUUGAGGACUGGAGAGGAGACUGGAAUUUACGGUGUAGCGGUGAAAUGCGUAGAUAUCGUAAGGAAGACCAGUGGCGAAGGCGGGUCUCUGGACAGUUCCUGACGCUGAAGCACGAAGGCCAGGGGAGCAAACCGG
Molecule: ribosomal RNA, 253 nt
Filed under: uncultured bacterium
Lineage: Bacteria
Description: partial 16S ribosomal RNA
Rfam family: Bacterial small subunit ribosomal RNA
Source: RNAcentral